AACCCCCCGCGUGGCGGCACCUCACCGAAUCCCCCAGGGCCGGAAGGCAGCAAGGGCAAGUGGGCUCUGCCGGGUGCGCGGGGGGCCUUCU
Molecule: signal recognition particle RNA, 91 nt
Filed under: Nocardioides sp. JS614
Lineage: Bacteria; Bacillati; Actinomycetota; Actinomycetes; Propionibacteriales; Nocardioidaceae
Description: SRP RNA; RNA component of signal recognition particle
Rfam family: Bacterial small signal recognition particle RNA
About the family: The signal recognition particle (SRP) is a universally conserved ribonucleoprotein involved in the co-translational targeting of proteins to membranes.
Source: RNAcentral